RNAcentral lists this ribosomal RNA (427 nucleotides) under uncultured bacterium. Its description in RNAcentral is "bacterial SSU rRNA". It matches the Rfam family "Bacterial small subunit ribosomal RNA", at positions 355 to 774 of the family's 1533-position model. The record is from RNAcentral.
UGGGGAAUUUUGGACAAUGGGCGAAAGCCUGAUCCAGCCAUGCCGCGUGAGUGAAGAAGGCCUUCGGGUUGUAAAGCUCUUUUAGUCGGAAAGAAAGAGUUGCAAUGAAUAAUUGUGAUUUAUGACGGUACCGACAGAAAAAGCACCGGCUAACUACGUGCCAGCAGCCGCGGUAAUACGUAGGGUGCGAGCGUUGAUCGGAAUUACUGGGCGUAAAGGGUGCGCAGGCGGUCUUGCAAGUCAGAUGUGAAAGCCCCGGGCUUAACCUGGGAAUUGCGGUUGAAACUACAAGGCUAGAGUGCAGCAGAGGGGAGUGGAAUUCCAUGUGUAGCAGUGAAAUGCGUAGAGAUGUGGAAGCACACCGAUGGCGAAGGCAGCUCCCUGGGUUGACACUGACGCUCAUGCACGAAAGCGUGGGGAGCAAACA